AUAGGCUUGGUAUUACUCUCGGACUCGAGGAAGAGGAGCUGAGCAACGACGACGUGAGCAGUAUCGUCCAUAAUGGGACCGUUGAUAUAGACAAUCCGUUCCUUGAGAAGUCUGGAGAAGAUGUCGUAGGAUCUCUCACCGCGGGAGGUUUGUUCGACGACCAUAGGGAUGAGACUAUUGGGGCGGAAUUUGGCGUUGAGGGAGGCGGUCCUGUUGGAGGUGCUAUCGAGGAUGGGGUUGGAGGCGAAGAGACCGGCGGAGGACGGAGGAAGGCGGACGCCAUGGAGGAGAGGUCGCUGGGAGGUAGGGAUAACGAAUUGAGGUCGUGAGGUGAGGGUUGAGCUUGAGUAGUUCAUCGUGUGAGAUCUGCUGUUGCUGCUGCUCUAUCUGCCUCUUUCUUUCUUUCUCUCUCUCUCUCUACCUCGUUCGUCUUAUCUGGUAUUGGGUGGGCAGGCUGGCAUCUAUAUAGACGCAGAGAAGAGAAGUGAACAACACGAUCGAUUGAUCGAUCGGACUGUAUAAAUGGUCAACUAAAUUUUGGGGUGGUGAUAAACUGGUCACUUAAUUUGUAGGUUAGGACAAAUUAGUAGUUUAAACUUGUAAACUAGUCGCUGAGACAUGUGGUCCUCCGUCUCUGGAGAGAACUCUACGUCUCUAGAAACUUGCAUACCAUUGGAAAGAUGAGAGGAGACUAUGAAUCCACGGGUAGCGACAUUUCCGUUUGGAAAAGGGAUGGAAUAUCUCACCCAGUUGUCCCGCCUGCUCAUCCCUUGCUUCCCUUUUUCCUUUGUCAUGAUUCUGUCUAAUAGAAUCUCAGCCAUUGUUUACUUAGUCUUGUAACCCAGUUGAUGUCAAGAUUGUUACAAGACGAUUCCUUGAAGACAGAAAUAAAUUGUUCAGCUGCUUCAAACUACGGUACUGAGUUCCUUCUUUUUAACAGGAAAUGGAAGAUGAGAAGGAGAAAUGAAUAUUUCAACCCAGGUGACAAUCCUUCAUGAACAUAUAAGCUAACACAACACAGACAGACUAGACCGACGUCAUUCGGUCGAAACCUCCUGACUCGGCUCCGACCCUCCUCCUCCUCCUGUUACCCUUCCUUGGCCACCAAAUGUACCGGUAACCAAAUCAAUUGCCUUAGGUUCGGCCACUUCGUCAAUGAGGCCGAAAUCCUUAGCCUCAUCAGGGUUCAUGUAAUUAUCCCUGUCCAUGUUCUUGGCGAUUAUAUCUAUUGGCUGCCCUGUAUGCUUUGCGUACAGCUCAUUCAGACUAUCCCAAACGCGAAUUAUAUGCUGUGUGUGGAUCCUCAUAUCCUGGGCUUGCCCUUCGUACCCUCCAGAUGGUUGAUGAAUCAUUAUUGUUGAGUUCGGAAGCGCCCUCCUCUCACCCUUUGCUCCAGCAGUUAAGAGAAGAGCACCCAUCGAUGCAGCCAAACCCAUGCAAAUUGUAUGCACUGGGGCCCUGAUGUACUGCAUCGUAUCGUAAAUUGCAAGACCUGCAUAAGAACCACAAGUGUGUCAUUUAAAAACCCAGAAAUACAAACAAGGUGGCUUUCAGGAUUAAUGGAUUAGUUAGCAGCAUCAACAUUGCCUUGCACAAAGCUGCAGCCUUCCUCUCCAUAGCAUCAGGCUGGGGAAUUUCUAUUGCCAACCUGAAUCUUUCAUGAACUAUCGCGAACUCGGACUGACCACAUCAUUAGGUCUCUAACCUGUUUAAUCAAGUCUCAACAAGUCUCCAAUAUUUUGUCUAUCUCCACACAAAAACAGGGUUCCGGUAAGUUUCUGGACUACUAAUCGCACACACUUCUCUGCUGGUUCCUAGAUUUACCUUCGAUCUUAUUUUUGUUAGUAAACUCACUCGUAUCCUGUCGAUCUCCUUCAUCGUAAUAUUCGUAACAUCCAGAUCUUCUCGCCGCAGCUAUGAUUGGUUUUCCCAACAAACUAAGGAAAGCUAUUCAGUCCAUCUACAUUCUUCCCAAACUUCCUCCUCUAUUGCAAAGUCUGAUCAAGUCACAAGAAGCAACUUUCUACAACUUCAACUACCAAGAGAUAGACAUCUGGGAUUGAACAAGGAUCUACUCAUCUAGUAUCCAAUUAUUAGAAAACUGUAUACAUGCUGAAAUCAAGGGUGCUUUAAAUGUCAAGUCUCACUAGGGGGUAGUCCUAUGUGUUCACUAUUGUGGCUGAUAAGUCUAGAUGGACCCGGGUACAUUUGAUGAAAUGCAAAUCUAGGACUAAAGAAUUGAUUGAGCAGACAAUUUAAGUCAUCGCAGGUGAUCAGGGUAAGGCAAUUCACAUGAGAGACAAUUUUGGUCAGCUCGGAAUACUCCUCUAUACCUUGUGUUGAAAUUACUGAGCAAAGGAGAAUCUGCAGUGUCUUUGACAGAUGCAGGCAAGAAAUAAUGAUGAUGACAAAAAUGUUAAAAUCUCAGACUGCAAACAACCACAAGACGACGAGGUUCUUGGUCGAGAAGAAAUAUACUUAAAAGUUAUCAGUCGUGGUAUCCAGAAGAUAGAUGAAGUGAUGGCAAGUUGGACUAUCAAGCAAUUAAGAGUGUUUUGCAGCAAUGACACUGCAGAUUUCCUAAUACCACAACACCAGGCAGAGUUUGAACCACCAAUUGAAGCCCAUCUAGCUGAUUGACUAGACCCCCUAUAUGAAUUUGUGAACUCCUCCACUUCUUGAACACCUAAAUUCCCCCUUGCAUGCAUCAAUCCCUCAAACCUAAAUCCCCUCUUGCAAGGAACAAAUGAAAUUAACAAUACCAAAUAGACUUGGCAAAGUGAUAGGAGGAAAAAUCAAGCCCAUAGCCCUACUAAACUAUGAGCACUAAGAGCAAUCAGGUAACGGCAGGACCAGGACAUAAAAUAGAAGAAACCAAGCAAAACAAGGGAAGAAGAUUAACCUUAGCGGAGUGAAGGAGAAAAGGGAAAGUGAGGGAGAGAGAACCUGAAGUGACAGAGCCACCGGGAGAGUUGAGGUACAUGUAGAUAGGCUUGGUGGAACUCUCGGACUCGAGAAAGAGGAGCUGUGCAACGAUUACAUGAGCGGUGCUAUCAUCAAUGCCACCAUUAAUACAGAUGAUGCGGUCUUUGAGAAGCCUGGAGAAGAUGUCGUAGGAUCUCUCACCGCGGGAGGUUUGCUCUACAACCAUAGGGAUGACGCUGUAGGAGGGACGGAACUUGGCGUUGAGGGAGGCGGACCUGCCGGAAUUGAGACGGAGGAUAGAGCUGGAAUUGAGGGAUCUGGCGUCGACGAAAUUGGGAGGAGGAAAGCGAAGGGCGGA
RNAcentral lists this long non-coding RNA (3283 nucleotides) under Linum usitatissimum (flax). RNAcentral's name for it is "long non-coding RNA (LUSI_LNC004150)". Lineage: Eukaryota; Viridiplantae; Streptophyta; Magnoliopsida; Malpighiales; Linaceae. The record is from RNAcentral.